Molecule: ribosomal RNA, 413 nt
Filed under: uncultured bacterium
Lineage: Bacteria
Description: bacterial SSU rRNA
Rfam family: Bacterial small subunit ribosomal RNA
Source: RNAcentral
GAAUAUUGCGCAAUGGGCGAAAGCCUGACGCAGCGACGCCGCGUGUGGGAUGACGGCCUUCGGGUUGUAAACCACUGUCGGGAGGGACGAAUGCGCCGCAAGGCGAGUGACGGUACCUCCAAAGGAAGCACCGGCCAACUCCGUGCCAGCAGCCGCGGUAACACGGAGGGUGCGAGCGUUGUCCGGAAUCACUGGGCGUAAAGGGCGCGUAGGCGGCCUGGUAAGUAGGGGGUGAAAUCCUGCGGCUUAACCGCAGAGCUGCCUUCUAAACUGUCAGGCUCGAGCACGGUAGAGGCAGAUGGAAUUCCCGGUGUAGCGGUGGAAUGCGUAGAGAUCGGGAAGAACAUCAGUGGCGAAGGCGGUCUGCUGGGCCGUUGCUGACGCUGAGGCGCGACAGCGUGGGGAGCAAACAG